UACGGAGGAUGCGAGCGUUAUCCGGAUUUAUUGGGUUUAAAGGGUGCGCAGGCGGGAGAUUAAGUCGUCGGUGAAAUUUUGCAGCUCAACUGUAAAAGUGCCUUCGAAACUGGUUUCCUUGAGUGUGGAUGAAGUAGGCGGAAUUUGUGGUGUAGCGGUGAAAUGCAUAGAUAUCACGAGGAACUCCGAUUGCGCAGGCAGCUUACUAAACCAUAACUUACGCUCAGGCACGAAGGCGUGGGGAUCAAACAGGAUUAGAUACCCCCGUAGU
Molecule: ribosomal RNA, 271 nt
Filed under: uncultured prokaryote
Description: partial 16S ribosomal RNA
Rfam family: Bacterial small subunit ribosomal RNA
Source: RNAcentral